This 519-nucleotide ribosomal RNA is filed under the name Quidnipagus palatam. RNAcentral's name for it is "partial 16S ribosomal RNA". It matches the Rfam family "Bacterial large subunit ribosomal RNA", at positions 1796 to 2620 of the family's 2925-position model. The record is from RNAcentral. Lineage: Eukaryota; Metazoa; Mollusca; Bivalvia; Cardiida; Tellinidae.
UCGCCUGUUUAUUCAAAAACAUGGCCUCCUGUUUAAAGUGGAAAGGUGGUCUGGCCUGCCCGGUGGGACCAAGGUCCUAAACGGUCGCAGCUACCACUGUGCGAAGGUAGCGUAAUAGGUCGUCCUUUAAUUGGGGGAGAGUAUGAAUGGUCGGAUGUUGGAGGGACUUUAUUAAGAACACAGGCUGAAGUUUACUUUCUAGUGCAAAGGCUGGAAUAGAGUUAUUAGACGAGAAGACCCUAUUGAGCUUGGUAAGCCCAAGCAGUUGUAGUUUGGGUGUAUGUUUUUUCGGGGCCGAAAAGAAGGGAUAAAUAUCUUCUAUUUUUUUUGAAGAUCCAGCGAGGUUGAAAAGAGGAAGAUAGUUACCAUAGGGAUAACAGCGCAAUUUCUUUGAAAAGAUCAUAUUUAAGGAGAAGUUUGCGACCUCGAUGUUGAAUCAGAGUUUCUACCAGGUGUAGCAGUUUGGUAAGUAGGACUGUUCGUCCUUUAAAGCUCUACGUGAUCUGAGUUCAGACCGGA